RNAcentral lists this ribosomal RNA (942 nucleotides) under uncultured fungus. RNAcentral describes it as "eukaryotic LSU rRNA". The stretch from base 302 to 942 matches the Rfam family "Eukaryotic large subunit ribosomal RNA", at positions 1 to 664 of the family's 3401-position model. Lineage: Eukaryota; Fungi. The record is from RNAcentral.
AUCGAUGAAGAACGCAGCGAAAUGCGAUAAGUAAUGUGAAUUGCAGAAUUCAGUGAAUCAUCGAAUCUUUGAACGCACAUUGCGCCCGCCAGUAUUCUGGCGGGCAUGCCUGUCCGAGCGUCAUUUCAACCCUCGAACCCCUCCGGGGGAUCGGCGUUGGGGAUCGGGACCCCUCACACGGGUGCCGGCCCCUAAAUACAGUGGCGGUCUCGCCGCAGCCUCUCCUGCGCAGUAGUUUGCACAACUCGCACCGGGAGCGCGGCGCGUCCACGUCCGUAAAACACCCAACUUUCUGAAAUGUUGACCUCGGAUCAGGUAGGAAUACCCGCUGAACUUAAGCAUAUCAAUAAGCGGAGGAAAAGAAACCAACAGGGAUUGCCCCAGUAACGGCGAGUGAAGCGGCAACAGCUCAAAUUUGAAAUCUGGCCUCUCCGGGUCCGAGUUGUAAUUUGUAGAGGAUGCUUUUGGUGAGGUGCCGCCCGAGUUCCCUGGAACGGGACGCCGCAGAGGGUGAGAGCCCCGUCUGGCUGGCCACCGAGCCUCUGUAAAGCUCCUUCGACGAGUCGAGUAGUUUGGGAAUGCUGCUCAAAAUGGGAGGUAUAUGUCUUCUAAAGCUAAAUAUUGGCCAGAGACCGAUAGCGCACAAGUAGAGUGAUCGAAAGAUGAAAAGCACCUUGAAAAGAGGGUUAAACAGUACGUGAAAUUGUUGAAAGGGAAGCGCUUGUGACCAGACUUGGGCGCGGCGGAUCAUCCGGGGUUCUCCCCGGUGCACUUCGCCGCGUCCAGGCCAGCAUCAGUUCGUCGCGGGGGAAAAAGGCUUCGGGAACGUGGCUCCUCCGGGAGUGUUAUAGCCCGUUGCAUAAUACCCUGCGGUGGACUGAGGACCGCGCAUCUGCAAGGAUGCUGGCGUAAUGGUCACCAGCGACCCGUCUUGAAACACGG